This 75-nucleotide transfer RNA is filed under the name Bremerella cremea. Its description in RNAcentral is "tRNA-Val". It matches the Rfam family "tRNA". Rfam says of the family: Transfer RNA (tRNA) molecules are approximately 80 nucleotides in length. Their secondary structure includes four short double-helical elements and three loops (D, anti-codon, and T loops). Lineage: Bacteria; Pseudomonadati; Planctomycetota; Planctomycetia; Pirellulales; Pirellulaceae. RNAcentral also lists the same sequence under 1 other name. The record is from RNAcentral.
GGGCGAUUGGCUCAGUUGGUUAGAGCACUACCUUGACAUGGUAGGGGUCACAGGUUCGAAUCCUGUAUCGCCCAC